RNAcentral lists this ribosomal RNA (507 nucleotides) under uncultured bacterium. RNAcentral describes it as "partial 16S ribosomal RNA". The record is from RNAcentral.
GGAGUUAGCCGGUGCUUCUUCUGUGAGUGAUGUCCUUCCUGCCGGUUAUUGACCCGCAGGCCUUCUUCCUCACUGAAAGUGCUUUACAACCCGAAGGCCUUCUUCACACACGCGGCAUGGCUGGAUCAGGGUUGCCCCCAUUGUCCAAUAUUCCCCACUGCUGCCUCCCGUAGGAGUCUGGGCCGUGUCUCAGUCCCAGUGUGGCUGAUCAUCCUCUCAGACCAGCUACGGAUCGUCGCCUUGGUGAGCCGUUACCUCACCAACCAGCUAAUCCGACAUAGGCUCAUCCGAUAGCGCGAGGCCCGAAGGUCCCCCGCUUUCCCCCGUAGGGCGUAUGCGGUAUUAGCCUGGGUUUCCCCAGGUUAUCCCCCACUACCGGGCAGAUUCCUAUGCAUUACUCACCCGUCCGCCGCUCGCCACCAGGGAGCAAGCUCCCCGUGCUGCCGCUCGACUUGCAUGUGUUAGGCCUGCCGCCAUCGUUCAAUCUGAGCCAUAAUCAAACUCUGA